CAAGUGUCCGCCCUCCAAUGGUGAUCCACACAAAAAUUGAACCAAGGACAGCACUCUUUCUUGACCUUGCUUCAAGAGUUCUAGCCACUAAAACUCAACUAGCCUCAUACUGGUCAGGUUUCUCCAAGAAACUGACUCCACCCUCUUAGAACCACUUUUGGACUUCUGAUCCUCCUUUCUUAGGACCCUCACAACCCUGGUUA
Molecule: long non-coding RNA, 203 nt
Filed under: Elaeis guineensis (African oil palm)
Lineage: Eukaryota; Viridiplantae; Streptophyta; Magnoliopsida; Arecales; Arecaceae
Description: long non-coding RNA (EGUI_LNC057103)
Source: RNAcentral